This 421-nucleotide ribosomal RNA is filed under the name uncultured bacterium. RNAcentral describes it as "bacterial SSU rRNA". It matches the Rfam family "Bacterial small subunit ribosomal RNA", at positions 355 to 774 of the family's 1533-position model. The record is from RNAcentral.
UAAGGAAUAUUGGUCAAUGGACGCAAGUCUGAACCAGCCAUGCCGCGUGAAGGAUGAAGGUCCUCUGGAUUGUAAACUUCUUUUAUCUGGGACGAAAACGGGAUUUUUAUCUCAAUUGACGGUACCAGAGGAAUAAGCACCGGCUAACUCCAUGCCAGCAGCCGCGGUAAUAAGGAGGGUGCGAGCGUUAUCCGGAUUUACUGGGUUUAAAGGGUGCGUAGGUGGGCUUAUAAGUCAGUGGUGAAAUCUCCGAGCUUAACUUGGAAACUGCCGUUGAUACUAUAGGUCUUGAAUUAUCUGGAGGUAAGCGGAAUAUGUCAUGUAGCGGUGAAAUGCUUAGAUAUGACAUAGAACACCAAUUACGAAGGCAGCUUACUACAUAUAAAUUGACGCUGAGGCACGAAAGCGUGGGGAUCAAACA